GGGUUAGUAAAGGUUUCGACAGGGAUUUUGAAGCUGGAGAAGCUAUCCGCAGGACGGUGCGUCAAACCUCAAAUUAAAAUUAAACGCUGAAGAUAAUUUAGCAAUCGCUGCCUAAGUGCAGCCCGUCAGCCUGAAUGCACCUACACAUUCAGUAACUGGCGUCAAAAAAUGUAGGAAACGACAUAGCUUAAGCUUUGCGGUUAUGGUCGUAUCAUGAAGCUACUGAUUAGUUUUGGUUGUCAAUUUCCGGAGCCAUGAGGGAACAGAGGUUAAGACCUCACAAUAAUUGACUACGAUAGUAGAAGGACAGGGGAUGAAUUUUUGGACGCGGGUUCGACUCCCGCCUAAUCCAUCU
RNAcentral lists this transfer-messenger RNA (355 nucleotides) under Lachnospiraceae. Its description in RNAcentral is "Butyrivibrio sp900112195 Standard tmRNA". It matches the Rfam family "transfer-messenger RNA". From Rfam's summary of the family: Bacterial tmRNA, also known as 10Sa RNA or SsrA, is named for its dual tRNA and mRNA-like properties. Its role is to liberate the mRNA from a stalled ribosome. Lineage: Bacteria; Bacillati; Bacillota; Clostridia; Lachnospirales. RNAcentral also lists the same sequence under 1 other name. The record is from RNAcentral.